UUCUGGAUGUAAAUUGACCAGAGUACUAUGAAUGUGAAAAAUUUAAAACUCAAAGAACUUGGCGGUGUUUUAGACCACUUAGGGGAACCUGUCUCAUAAUCGAUAAUCCACGUUAUACCUGACCUUUUUUUGUUAUCAGUUUGUAUACCGUUGUCGUCAGGUAACUUUUUAGAAUUUAGAAGUUAGCAACUAAGAAAAUAAUUCGUUACGUCAAAUCAAGGUGCAGCUAAUAGAAAGGGGAGGAUGGGUUACAAUUAUAAAUUAUAAUAACGGAAGGUGGACUUAAAAGUAAAUUAAACAUAAGCAAUUUGAAUAAGGCUCUGAAACGCGU
Molecule: ribosomal RNA, 331 nt
Filed under: Duplicaria sp. NP3
Lineage: Eukaryota; Metazoa; Mollusca; Gastropoda; Neogastropoda; Terebridae
Description: partial 12S ribosomal RNA
Source: RNAcentral